GUGAAGCAAAGACACAAAAAGUGCUAACACUGGAUGUAAAAAUCGACUCUAACAUAAUGGAGGUACUGAAGUAGCUGACUGGGAACGAGGACACCACUACCAGCGGGGACUCUCAGCUCAGUGCUCAGGUAGGGGGAAGGGCGACUUAAGAGCCCGAACGAGGACAGCGGGUGCGUGGAAAGGACAAGCAUCCCCCAGAUGCAGCGAGAAACUUCACAUUAAAAGAACUCUUAGAGACAACUUAUACCAAGCGAGUGUGCGAGUAGGGGAAGAGGGAGAGGAAGAGAGAAUCUCAAGCAGACUCCCUGCAGGAGCACAGAGCUGACAAGGGGCUUGAUCUCAUGCCCCUGAGAUCAUGACCUGAGCCGAAACCAUGCAUCAGACGCUCAACUGACUGAGCCAUCCAGGUGUCCCGCCUUUGCUUUAAAUUACAGUGUACUAAAUAAAAAUUGUUUUACUAUU
Molecule: long non-coding RNA, 462 nt
Organism: Ailuropoda melanoleuca (giant panda)
Lineage: Eukaryota; Metazoa; Chordata; Mammalia; Carnivora; Ursidae
Exons: 2
Source: RefSeq, a predicted model, not a curated record